This is an RNA transcript of Corvus hawaiiensis (hawaiian crow), 3209 nucleotides long. It is a transcript of the gene named nucleolar protein 8-like, with no coding region annotated. The record is from RefSeq and is a predicted model, not a curated record. NCBI's taxonomy places the organism in Eukaryota, Metazoa, Chordata, Aves, Passeriformes, Corvidae. The transcript is spliced from 5 exons.
UAGAAAAUGGAAGCUGAAUGACACAUCAUCAUUGGCGUGUGCUAACCUCAGAUAAAAUGAGGCCUUAUGAAAUGAAGAUGAAACAAUAUUAAAUCAAGUCACAGUCUUGUAGGAAAGAAAAGAAACUGUGCAAAGUUACCCAAAAGAUUAAAAAACCCAAGGUGCUUUGUGUGCAACAACACAAAGCAACAAGCCCCCCACACUUCUGCUGAAUUCAGAAGGUAGUUAGUGUCUUCUGAAUGCAGCGAUCAAGGUUUAGGAAUACGUAGGAGAUGCCUAGAACAAAGUGGAAAAUACUGGAGCAGAGAUUUAGCUCAGAAAAUCUGAGGGGAGAAGAUUCUGUCCUUCUGAAAUCUGCCUUCUCCAGUAGCCUUACAUACUUGGACCAAUAAAACCGGUGAAAGUCACAUGGCAAGAGGAUCCACGUUUCCAAGACAGCAGUUCUGAGAGUGAUGAUGAGCCUGAACCAUCAGAAAUUGGAAAGGACCAAGAAAUGCAAGUUCCAUUUGUAUUUGUUCUCUCCUUGGUUGUCGUAGUUGGAUGCUGUGGGCAUAUUAAGAGCAGCACUCAGGAAACGGGAAACGGACAUUGCACACCUCUGAGCAGUGAAAGUCAUCUUGGAAAACCGUCUGUGCUGCACCGAGUCAAAACUCCCAGCAGCCCAUUUGAUGUGAAGCUGAAUAUGAAGAGAGAGAAGUUGAGCACAAGAAAUUAACUGGGUCGUUUUGGUUUGACCAAACCCAAACUGAGUUUGGCCAAAAGCCAAAGACACAGUCAGUUUUCUUUUAAAAAGUGGGGUUUUUAUAGAAGGCUCUGUUUGGUUACUGUGGAGUAAAGCUCUUCAAUGUUUACCAUUUCUCUGAAGCGCUGCAGCUCUAACUCGUGUUCAUGGAAUUUGAUAGUGCCUUUUAGGAUGCUAAAAUCCCUUUGUACUUGUCUAGGUUUCUUUCUUUACCACACACGGAAAGUGCUAGAGUCUUCUUCUUCUCCAAAGAUGAUGAACGCCUAAGAGGUACAACAGAACUUAUUCACCCCUUUUGUAUUUUUUUCCUUUUAAACUCUUACUGGAAUUCAGUGAGGAAAAAAUGCUGCCCGCUUAUGAAUGGUUUGUAGUCAACAUUUGCCACCCUUACUUGGGGUCUAGGUUGUGCUAGAAGCCCGUGAGGAAGUCCUGGCAAAAUAAAGGCUGAGCAGCUGUCUGGCUUUCUUUUCUUUCAGAUAAUUGCCUAAUAGGUAUCUGGACUUUUGGAGCUUACCAAAAAAAUAGUCACUGGACAAGUUGCCUAGACAUUUCAGACCCUUUCAGGUAUGUAUAUCAUCUUUAACUUUUUCUUGUCUUUCUGCUGUUAUCAUUAAGAACGUUGAGUAUUCUUAUCAGCCACAUAUGCCCGUGGGGUUCUUUGUCCUCCUGAAUCUCGGUUUUUCUCUUCUGAAUCCAGUGAAUUUUGUACUAAAAACCAAGGAAAACAACAGUCAAAGAAAACAUACGCAGCCCUAAACAUUCCACAGGCCACCAAAACAAUGGCUUGUUACAUUUGAUAGAACACAGUUUUAGGACAGCCUUAAAGGAUGUUUGUUUCUUGAGACCUACUAGAUAACUGUGAUGCAACGAGCUGAUGUGUUCAUACAGUUACUGUCCUGCGUGCUUCCAGCCUGUCUGAUUUACAGCGCGUGUUAAAAUGGGGAUCUCAGUCGUCAGCAGCCAUCAGUUUUGGGGGGAGAUGUGGGAUCCUGGUGUUGAGCUUUUCCUGGAGCAGCUGCUAUUUCACUGCAAUCUAGAUUUCAGCAUGUUCAGGAAAACUGCUGCUGCCUUUCAUUUCUCGCAGUACACGCGGCUGUAACACCGAACAUUUCUGUCGGAGCUCACGUGUGGUGGUGGGGGGAAGCGAAUGGGAAGGAUGUGGAGAAUAGAGCUGCUGACUUUACUGCUGUGUUGCUCAUGAGUGAUCCAAGCAGCAGCAUCAUCAGAAGUGUUUAACCCUUAUAAUUGGUUCUUUGUUUUGUGCAGAGGGCCCAAAGUUAUUUUGUAGAUCAGUAGAGCUCAGUGAAGAAAAAGAGGGUUGGGAAGACAGACGUAGAUUAUUGCUUGAGGUGAGUAUGAAACGUCUGUUCCCUGGUAACUGUGGCUGAAAGCUGAGCACGAGGAGGGAAGAGGGCUAUGAAUCUGCAUGAGAAAUUAAUUCAGGACCUCAACAAGAGCCUGAAACUUUGUAAUUACCAGAGAACAAAAGUGGUUUAGUAUACUGGUGUGUAUAACAUCAGGUUGUGAUGUCACUCAGGUAAACCACUAAAUCUCUGCACGUUACGGGACAGGACCAGAGACUUAACUGUACAUAGAGAAAGUGUUCAAGAGAAACAGUGAGUUCAGAGACUUCUCCUAAUAGUGGAUUCAGAAACUUCUCCUAAUAAUACGUUGGAUUUUCACCAUUUUCUGGAAUGCCGAAGGAAGCAUAAGGACGCCAAAAGAAAAGUGAAAGCAAACCAAUAAAUCUUCUUUUACUGAUGAGAAGCGUGUCAUGUUUCUUCCUUGAAGAAGUUGCAAACCAAUGUUACUUUGGAAAUCCUUUCCAAGAUCUAAUAGGAAAAACUUUUGGCCAAAACUGUCAGCCUGUGUUUCUGAAUAGGAAUACGUGUCCUGUGUCAAUUCAAGUGCCACCCUCGAUGGCUGCCCCAGGGCCUGGCAUUUGACCCUGCACUUGCUGCAGGAGCCCCUGCCCUGGUUGGGCUCUGACCAAAGGCUCGGACCCAUCUCAGAACCUCGGUUCCCAAGGGUGGCGUGGGACUGAGGCCAUCGCUGCCCCUAUUUUGGGUGCGCGUUGCUGAUGUCAGAAUGGCCAUUGUGACCCGUGCGACCAAGGCCACCAGAGGGAACGCUGGGCUCAGGCCGUGUGUCAGUGCGACCUGACAACGGGAGGAGAAGACGCAGCAGAGGAACAUCCACGGGAGACAGCAGUGUUCCUCGACGCGGUGACGGGAGGAGAAGGCGGACUGGAGCAGGGCUCACGCAGGGCUCACCAGGGAGUAGUGCCCUCGUGGCUCUGGGCCGGUUCUGCAAACUCCCCACACUCUUCUUUCUCCCACAGAGGGAGAGGACGAGCGCCUGGAGAAGGUCGCGGUGUUCCUGCACGGGGACUCAUCGCAGACCAGAACCAUGGCAGAAGGGAAGCAGGAGGCCUCUGAUGCCAGGGAGCCAGCAUGCCUGCUGUGCC